This 254-nucleotide ribosomal RNA is filed under the name uncultured bacterium. RNAcentral describes it as "partial 16S ribosomal RNA". It matches the Rfam family "Bacterial small subunit ribosomal RNA", at positions 524 to 776 of the family's 1533-position model. The record is from RNAcentral.
UACGUAGGGUGCGAGCGUUGUCCGGAAUUAUUGGGCGUAAAGAGCUCGUAGGCGGUGUGUCACGUCGGCCGUGAAAACCUGCAGCUUAACUGUGGGCGUGCGGUCGAUACGGGCAUCACUGGAGUUCGGCAGGGGAGACUGGAAUUCCUGGUGUAGCGGUGAAAUGCGCAGAUAUCGGGAGGAACACCAGUGGCGAAGGCGGCGAUCUGGGUCGAUACUGACGCUGAGGUGCGAAAGCGUGGGGAGCAAACAGG